This 468-nucleotide ribosomal RNA is filed under the name uncultured bacterium. RNAcentral's name for it is "partial 16S ribosomal RNA". It matches the Rfam family "Bacterial small subunit ribosomal RNA", at positions 28 to 507 of the family's 1533-position model. The record is from RNAcentral.
GACGAACGCUGGCGGCGUGCUUAACACAUGCAAGUCGAACGGAAAGGCCCUGCUUUUGUGGGGUGCUCGAGUGGCGAACGGGUGAGUAACACGUGAGUAACCUGCACUUGACUUUGGGAUAACUUCAGGAAACUGGGGCUAAUACCGGAUAGGAGCUCCUGCUGCAUGGUGGGGGUUGGAAAGUUUCGGCGGUGGGGGAUGGACUCGCGGCUUAUCAGCUUGUUGGUGGGGUAGUGGCUUACCAAGGCUUUGACGGGUAGCCGGCCUGAGAGGGUGACCGGCCACAUUGGGACUGAGAUACGGCCCAGACUCCUACGGGAGGCAGCAGUGGGGAAUAUUGCACAAUGGGCGGAAGCCUGAUGCAGCAACGCCGCGUGCGGGAUGACGGCCUUCGGGUUGUAAACCGCUUUCGCCUGUGACGAAGCGUGAGUGACGGUAAUGGGUAAAGAAGCACCGGCUAACUACGUG